GGAUAGCUCAGUUGGUAGAGCAUGAGACUCUUAAUACCAGGAUAGUGGGUUCAAACACCAUGUUGGGCA
This is a non-coding RNA of Podarcis lilfordi (Lilford's wall lizard), 69 nucleotides long. The record is from the annotation of a GenBank genome assembly. NCBI's taxonomy places the organism in Eukaryota, Metazoa, Chordata, Lepidosauria, Squamata, Lacertidae.